This 421-nucleotide ribosomal RNA is filed under the name uncultured Gammaproteobacteria bacterium. RNAcentral describes it as "bacterial SSU rRNA". It matches the Rfam family "Bacterial small subunit ribosomal RNA", at positions 9 to 428 of the family's 1533-position model. The record is from RNAcentral. Lineage: Bacteria; Pseudomonadati; Pseudomonadota; Gammaproteobacteria.
GAGUUUGAUCGUGGCUCAGAGUGAACGCUGGCGGCAGGCCUAACACAUGCAAGUCGAACGGCAGCACAGUCGUAGCAAUACGAUGGGUGGCGAGUGGCGGACGGGUGAGGAAUACAUCGGAAUCUACCUUGUCGUGGGGGAUAACGUAGGGAAACUUACGCUAAUACCGCAUACGAACUACGGUUGAAAGCGGCGGACCGCAAGGCGUCGCGCGAUUGGAUGAGCCGAUGUCCGAUUAGCUAGUUGGCGGGGUAAAGGCCCACCAAGGCGACGAUCGGUAGCUGGUCUGAGAGGAUGAUCAGCCACACUGGAACUGAGACACGGUCCAGACUCCUACGGGAGGCAGCAGUGGGGAAUAUUGGACAAUGGGCGCAAGCCUGAUCCAGCCAUGCCGCGUGUGUGAAGAAGGCCUCGGUUGUAA